This 252-nucleotide ribosomal RNA is filed under the name uncultured bacterium. RNAcentral's name for it is "partial 16S ribosomal RNA". It matches the Rfam family "Bacterial small subunit ribosomal RNA", at positions 525 to 776 of the family's 1533-position model. The record is from RNAcentral.
ACGGAGGGUCCAAGCGUUAUCCGGAUUCAUUGGGUUUAAAGGGUGCGCAGGCGGAACGAUAAGUCAGUGGUGAAAUCCUACAGCUCAACUGUAGAACUGCCAUUGAAACUGUCGAUCUUGAGUAUAGUUGAAGUGGGCGGAAUGUAUCAUGUAGCGGUGAAAUGCAUAGAUAUGAUACAGAACUCCGAUAGCGAAGGCAGCUCACUAACCUAUAACUGACGCUCAGGCACGAAAGCGUGGGGAGCAAACAGG